AUGUCCUCUGCCGACCAGAGCUCCAGUCCGGCGGGCCUGGCUGACCUACACCGCGCCCUGACGUCCUCUGCCGACCAGAGCUCCAGUCCGGCGGGCCUGGCUGACCUACACAGCGCCCUGACGUCCUCUGCCCACCAGAGCUCCAGCCCGGCGGCCCCUGCUGCCUGCCAGCGCCCUGACGUCCUCUGCCCACCAGAGCUCCAGUCCGGCGGUCCAUCGCAGGGCAGGCGUGGCAAGCACGUCCCUGACAGACAGACAGACAGACAGACGAGAAAGAUGGCGCUUAAGCUGCCUGACCCUGGGCCAGCUCAGGGUGAGGACGGCCCACUCACGGGAGAAAGGACACGGGCGACCAGAGCGUCCCACGGGCCCGACUCCCACGCAGGGCCUGGCGUCACACCAGGGACACGGGCCCACACCCGCAGUCGCUGUCUUCCUGCCAAUCAUCUAAACAGAAGCCCGGAGCUGGGAAGUGGGCCUCAGCCAAGAGAGACCUGUGCCUGUGUGUGUGCUCCCUGUGUGUGCUCAGUGUGUACUGUGUGUGUUCAGUGUGUGUGUGCUCAGUGUGUGCUGUGUGUGCUCCCUGUGUACUGUGUGUGUUCCGUGUGUACUGUGCGUGCUCCCUGUGUACUGUGUGUGCUCCCUGUGUGUGCUCACUGUGUACUGUGUGUGCUCACUGUGUACUGUGUGUGCUCCCUGUGUACUGUGUGCUCCCUGUGUACUGUGUGUGCUCACUGUGUACUGUGUGCUCCCUGUGUACUGUGUGUGCUCACUGUGUACUGUGUGCUCCCCUGUGUACUGUGCGUGCUCCCUGUGUACUGUGUGUGCUCCCUGUGUACUGUGUGUGCUCACUGUGUACUGUGUGUGCUCCCUGUGUACUGUGUGUGCUCACUGUGUACUGUGUGCUCCCUGUGUACUGUGUGUGCUCCCUGUGUACUGUGUAUGUGCUGUGUACUGUGUGUGCUCAGUGUGUGUGUGCUCACUGUGUACUGUGUAUGUGCUGUGUACUGUGUGUGCUCCCUGUGUACUGUGUGUGCUCAGUGUGUGUGUGUGCUCAGUGUGUGUGCUCCCUGUGUACUGUGUGUGUGCUGUGUACUGUGUGCUCCCUGUGUACUGUGUGUGCUCCCUGUGUGUGCUUCCUGUGUACUGUGUGUGCUCCCUGUGUACUGUGUGUGCUCCCUGUGUACUGUGUGUGCUCACUGUGUGCUGUGUGUACUGUGUGUGCUCACUGUGUGUGCUCCCUGUGUACUGUGUGUGCUCCCUGUGUGUGCUCCAUGUGUACUGUGUGUGCUCCGUGUGUACUGUGUGUGCUCACUGUGUACUGUGUGUGUGCUGUGUACUGUGUGCUCCCUGUGUACUGUGUGUGCUCCCUGUGUGUGCUCCCUGUGUGUGUGCUCCAUGUGUACUGUGUGUGCUCCGUGUGUGUGCUCACUGUGUACUGUGUGUGUGCUCCCUGUGUACUGUGUGUGCUCCCUGUGUACUGUGUGUGCUCACUGUGUGUGCUCCCUGUGUACUGUGUGUGCCCACUGUGUACCGUGUGUGUGUGCUGGUCAUGCAGCCUCAGCCCCACCCUCCGCCUGGGAGAACCCUUGCCCCUCACCCUGGAAGCCCCUCCUUCCCUCCGUCCCCUGCCCUGGCACCUGGCAGGGUCGGAGGUUGUUCUGUGUCCCUUGCUGUUCUCUCGCCCUUCAUGAGACGGAAGCGGACUUCAGGGAGGAGAAAACGCGGGGGUUUAAGGUUGGUGAGUCCGUAUCGCCAGGCACAGAGCAGGCACGAGGUUAG
This 1782-nucleotide long non-coding RNA is filed under the name Oryctolagus cuniculus (rabbit). Its description in RNAcentral is "lncRNA (ENSOCUG00000038379.1)". The record is from RNAcentral. Lineage: Eukaryota; Metazoa; Chordata; Mammalia; Lagomorpha; Leporidae.